GUGGGGAAUAUUGGGCAAUGGGCGCAAGCCUGACCCAGCAACGCCGCGUGCAGGAAGAAGGCCUUCGGGUUGUAAACUGCUUUUGUACGGAACGAAACGGUCCUGGUUAAUACCUGGGGCUAAUGACGGUACCGUAAGAAUAAGCACCGGCUAACUACGUGCCAGCAGCCGCGGUAAUACGUAGGGUGCAAGCGUUAAUCGGAAUUACUGGGCGUAAAGCGUGCGCAGGCGGUUUUGUAAGACAGGCGUGAAAUCCCCGGGCUCAACCUGGGAAUGGCGUUUGUGACUGCAAAGCUGGAGUGCGGCAGAGGGGGAUGGAAUUCCGCGUGUAGCAGUGAAAUGCGUAGAUAUGCGGAGGAACACCGAUGGCGAAGGCAAUCCCCUGGGCCUGCACUGACGCUCAUGCACGAAAGCGUGGGGAGCAAACAGGAUUAGAAACCCGUGUAGUCC
RNAcentral lists this ribosomal RNA (450 nucleotides) under uncultured bacterium. RNAcentral's name for it is "partial 16S ribosomal RNA". It matches the Rfam family "Bacterial small subunit ribosomal RNA", at positions 354 to 796 of the family's 1533-position model. The record is from RNAcentral.